GAUGAACGCUGGCGGCGUGCCUAAUACAUGCAAGUCGAGCGAACGGACGAGAAGCUUGCUUCUCUGAUGUUAGCGGCGGACGGGUGAGUAACACGUGGAUAACCUACCUAUAAGACUGGGAUAACUUCGGGAAACCGAAGCUAAUACCGGAUGAUAUUUUGAACCGCAUGGUUCAAAAGUGAAAGACGGUCUUGCUGUCACUUAUAGAUGGAUCCGCGCUGCAUUAGCUAGUUGGUAAGGUAACGGAUUACCAAGGCAACGAUGCAUAGCCGACCUGAGAGGGUGAUCGGCCACACUGGAACUGAGACACGGUCCAGACUCCUACGGGAGGCAGCAGUAGGGAAUCUUCCGCAAUGGGCGAAAGCCUGACGGAGCAACGCCGCGUGAGUGAUGAAGGUCUUCGGAUCGUAAAACUCUGUUAUUAGGGAAGAACAUAUGUGUAAGUAACUGCGCACAUCUUGACGGUACCUAAUCAGAAAGCCACGGCUAACUACGUG
This 497-nucleotide ribosomal RNA is filed under the name uncultured bacterium. RNAcentral's name for it is "partial 16S ribosomal RNA". It matches the Rfam family "Bacterial small subunit ribosomal RNA", at positions 28 to 507 of the family's 1533-position model. The record is from RNAcentral.